This 64-nucleotide transfer RNA is filed under the name human gut metagenome. It matches the Rfam family "tRNA", at positions 6 to 65 of the family's 71-position model. Rfam says of the family: Transfer RNA (tRNA) molecules are approximately 80 nucleotides in length. Their secondary structure includes four short double-helical elements and three loops (D, anti-codon, and T loops). The record is from RNAcentral. RNAcentral also lists the same sequence under 1 other name.
GGCGUAGCUCAGUGGUUAGAGCAGUCGGCUCAUAACCGAUUGGUCACUGGUUCAAACCCAGUCG